Molecule: long non-coding RNA, 210 nt
Filed under: Brassica rapa (field mustard)
Lineage: Eukaryota; Viridiplantae; Streptophyta; Magnoliopsida; Brassicales; Brassicaceae
Description: long non-coding RNA (BRAP_LNC007835)
Source: RNAcentral
CUUAUGAUGGUCCACAAAACUAGUCAAAUAACACAAGCUUCUAAUUGGGGUUUCAUGUGGGACAAAUCCAAGUUGAAACCCUCCAAAACUUUUGUACUAUUUUAACAUCUCUGUUAUUUUUUUUACUUCUUUUUUUGGUUAAAAUUGAGACUUUUGGCAUAUAAUAAGAAAACUUUCAGCAGAGUAUCUCAACUUAAAUUAAAUAAAAAU